This is a long non-coding RNA of Cephus cinctus (wheat stem sawfly), 1133 nucleotides long. RefSeq lists it as uncharacterized. The record is from RefSeq and is a predicted model, not a curated record. NCBI's taxonomy places the organism in Eukaryota, Metazoa, Arthropoda, Insecta, Hymenoptera, Cephidae. The transcript has 2 exons.
AGUUUUUGUAAAGAAUCUUCAGAGUUGUCAUUCUUCUCAUGUAGCACAUGCGGAUGUAUACAUAUACAGAUAUCGUUAAGCUAUAAAGCUCUAGUACACAUUGAGUAGCUCCCACGCUACGUUCGGACGUUUAUUAAAAAUAAACGCAAGGAAAAGUCUAGCCGCGUCGGUAGAACGCGCGUCUGCUACGACUGUUACAGUAGCGCGCAUGCGCGUAACCAUGGCAACGAGUUCGCAAUCGGCGAUGGCGGCGCGAGAAAAAGAUGCGACGCUCGAGCGUCGCGACUCCUCUUGCUACAGCAGCUUCGUCAAGGACUUCUUUAGUACGUCGUACGUAAACCGCGCGGCCGCGUAUGUACACAACGCAUCAAGUUAAACGAACAGUCACCGGGAGAAUCAUGUGUGGUAGCGUAAACAGUUGUAGGAUAUUAAAUAUAAAAAGCGACGGUUAAUGAUGCGGAUGAAAGUAAAGGCGGGAAAUUGUUUAAAUUGAAAACAAAAUAACAUCAACACAAUGCCAACAACACAGAAUCCAUGGGGCGAAGGACGCAAGCUGCAAUAUGAUUGUAUGAGCGACGGAUGUAUUUUCUACGUGCAGUUGGCAUCCGGUGUGACGGUAACCUCGAGGACGAAGUGAAAGUUCAUACUCAUGGAAGAAUUCGUACGUUGCUAACCCAUUUGAGGUUAUGUCCAAGAAAAUAAUAACGAUACGGUAUUGUGCAACGUUAAUAAGACCUUAUUGAGGCGAGUACAAAGAGUGAAAAGUAAUCAGGGACAGACGGAGAGAGAAAAGGAAUAGCAUAGACAGGCAGACAGUAAGACAGAGAGUGAGGGAGCUGAAUAUACACAGGACUGACUCGAGUCAAAUGUUAGCCAGUGCACGGCGAUGGAACGUCUUUAAGAGCAAGGAGGGACUUAUAUAAGAAAGCAAGAUGGCAACCGGUUGUCCCUGAGCCACGACCGGCGUUUAUUUGCGCAUUUUUAUCUAUUUUUCGAACCCGCCAAAAAACUUCGCGCAGCCAGUUUGCCGGUUCUCGCGCAGGGCUGUUCGUAAUCUAGGGUCCCAUGGGCCCGACCUGUAUAUACGCCACGUUUAUGUAUCAUGCUUAUUAAUAAAACGGCUGAAAGAUUGA